CCGCCGCUGAAUUGUCCGCUGAUGUAGUCAGCGACAUGCCCAGGUAGUCAGCGAUCCACAAGGCUACGGCGCGGCACUCGCCACGCUGAUCGCACCCAGUCCGCUUCACAUCCCAUGCGCGGACGCCUGCCGUUUCGACGGCAGCGGAUGU
Molecule: non-coding RNA, 151 nt
Organism: Thauera chlorobenzoica
Lineage: Bacteria; Pseudomonadati; Pseudomonadota; Betaproteobacteria; Rhodocyclales; Zoogloeaceae
Source: Rfam